Molecule: ribosomal RNA, 482 nt
Filed under: uncultured bacterium
Lineage: Bacteria
Description: bacterial SSU rRNA
Rfam family: Bacterial small subunit ribosomal RNA
Source: RNAcentral
UUGAACGCUGGCGGCAUGCUUUACACAUGCAAGUCGAACGGCAGCGGGGGCUUCGGCCUGCCGGCGAGUGGCGAACGGGUGAGUAAUGCAUCGGAACGUACCCAGUCGUGGGGGAUAACUACGCGAAAGCGUGGCUAAUACCGCAUACGCCCUGAGGGUGAAAGCGGGGGAUCGCAAGACCUCGCGCGAUAGGAGCGGCCGAUAUCGGAUUAGCUUGUUGGUGAGGUAAAGGCUCAUCAAGGCGACGAUCCGUAGCUGGUCUGAGAGGACGACCAGCCACACUGGAACUGAGACACGGUCCAGACUCCUACGGGAGGCAGCAGUGGGGAAUUUUGGACAAUGGGCGCAAGCCUGAUCCAGCAAUGCCGCGUGCAGGAUGAAGGCCUUCGGGUUGUAAACUGCUUUUGUACGGAACGAAAAGACUCCUUCUAAUAAAGGGGGUUCAUGACGGUACCGUAAGAAUAAGCACCGGCUAACUACGU